Molecule: long non-coding RNA, 378 nt
Organism: Homo sapiens (human)
Lineage: Eukaryota; Metazoa; Chordata; Mammalia; Primates; Hominidae
Source: Ensembl
GAAAUCCACUGAAGGCAGAGGAAAGACACCCUACACUCUGCUUCUGCUUCCAAGUGGAGGCUUCUUUCAUUUCUAAAGGGGUCUUUCAAAAAGUUCAAAAAUAUGUAGAUGACUAACUCUGGAAAAUACUGGAGUAGACUGUGUUGUAAUAGAAGUGCAGUGACUCACUCACUCCCAGAAACUGGAAACAGAUACAAAUCAGGUCCCAGAUUUCCUUUUGGCAUCAAGCCUGCUUUAAAUUGCAGAAAAAGAUGGACUCAAAUUUUGAUUGUGGGAAUGAUGAAAAUGACAAUGAAAUCGGCUACUGAAAAAGGAAAUAUAUCAAGGUUUGGAAUCAAAAGGUAUUAUCUGGUGAAAGAAUAAAGACAUUUUAAUAUA